GUAGCGACUGCGAAAUUAAUGCGACCCGCAACACGUGAGUCAUCGAGUCUUUGAACGCAUAUUGCACCCGACAGGUUCACUUCGUCGGGUCUGCCUGUCUGAGUAUCAAUACGGACCCAAUCAAUAAAUAAUAUUUGUUGUGUUGGUGCUCAUUAAUUUAUUAAUGGAUUUGAAUGUUCAAUUACCUUUUGUUAAUUGAUUAUUUGAAAUGUAUUGGUAUUAGUCAAUCAGUUGAUAAUUGCCAACAGCUAUUAAGCAUUGUUAAUCAUCUUUUAUUAGAUGUUCAUUGCUCUACAAGUCGUUGGAAUCACGAUUAUUAGCCGCUGUGUAAAAGCAGUGUAGUAUUGAAUAGACCAAAAGCACACUUGUUAUUACAUUUUUUGUAGUGCAAGAGUACACUUUUAACCAUCUUGAUCUCAGAUCAGGCAGGAUGACCCGCUGAACUUAAGCAUAUCAGUAAGCGGAGGAAAAGAAACUAACCAGGAUUCCCUUAGUAACGGCGAGUGAAGCGGGAAUAGCCCAAUCUGAAAAGCUAGUCUGCCCUGGAGCAGGUCUCGCAUUGUAGGUUGAUGAAUCGUUUCCUAGUGUUAAACCUUUCAAUUAAAGUUCCUUGGAACAGGACAUCAAAGAGGGUGAUAAUCCCGUGAUUAAUUGAAUGACAUACCAGUUUAAUGCGCCUAUGGAGCGUUUUCUUAGAGUCGGAAUGUUUGGGAUUGCAUUCCAAAAUGGGUGGUAAACUCCAUCUAAGGCUAAAUACUGGCGAGAGACCGAUAGCGAACAAGUACCGUGAGGGAAAGUUGAAAAGCACUCUGGAGAGAGAGUCAAACAGUACGUGAAAUUGCUAGCAGGGAAACGUUGGGCACCAGUACACGGCAAUCAAUGCUAAUGAUCAGUCGAUUUCUUAAUAAAUUAUGAUGUGGUGUUUACUUUGAAGAUUGUCCUUGCGGCGACUUACAUAUUAUAAAUUGUUAAUUGAUCGGUGCACUCUUUGGCAGCCGGGUCAACAUCGGUUAAUGACGUUCGACAAGUCUUUAGACAAGGUAGCAUCAGUGGGUUUUGCUCACUUUUGAACUUAUAGGUCUAAUGUACGAGAAUGUCGUUGACCGAGGAUAGUCGAUUCGCGCGCUUCGGUGCAGGGCGUAUUGGUUGGGUCAAGGUUGCCCGUGAUGCUAAGCAGCAUGCUGAUUAGUAUUCAUUUUACUAUACUUGUAUAGUAGUGGCGGUCGUCCAGAUUAAUACAAGCCACUAGCGAGUCAA
Molecule: ribosomal RNA, 1257 nt
Filed under: Syncephalis intermedia
Lineage: Eukaryota; Fungi; Zoopagomycota; Zoopagomycetes; Zoopagales; Piptocephalidaceae
Description: eukaryotic LSU rRNA
Rfam family: Eukaryotic large subunit ribosomal RNA (bases 412-1257)
Source: RNAcentral